CAGUAGCCGCGGGAAUACGUAGGGAGCGAGCGUUAAUCGGAAUUACUGGGCGUAAAGCGUGCGCAGGCGGUUGUGUAAGACAGGUGUGAAAUCCCCGGGCUUAACCUGGGAACUGCGCUUGUGACUGCACAGCUAGAGUAUGGCAGAGGGGGGUGGAAUUCCACGUGUAGCAGUGAAAUGCGUAGAGAUGUGGAGGAACACCGAUGGCGAAGGCAGCCCCCUGGGCCAAUACUGACGCUCAUGCACGAAAGCGUGGGGAGCAAACAGGAUUAGAUACCCCGGUAGUCCCUGUCUCUUAUAC
This 301-nucleotide ribosomal RNA is filed under the name uncultured bacterium. RNAcentral's name for it is "partial 16S ribosomal RNA". It matches the Rfam family "Bacterial small subunit ribosomal RNA", at positions 509 to 807 of the family's 1533-position model. The record is from RNAcentral.